UGGAUUUGACAUAUUUCUGACCGCCCUAGAGAUAGGGUUUCUCUUCGGAGCAGAAUUAC
RNAcentral lists this ribosomal RNA (59 nucleotides) under uncultured bacterium. Its description in RNAcentral is "partial 16S ribosomal RNA". The record is from RNAcentral.